AGUGAACGCUGGCGGUAGGCCUAACACAUGCAAGUCGAACGGCAGCACAGUAAGAGCUUGCUCUUACGGGUGGCGAGUGGCGGACGGGUGAGGAAUACAUCGGAAUCUACUUUUUCGUGGGGGAUAACGUAGGGAAACUUACGCUAAUACCGCAUACGACCUACGGGUGAAAGCAGGGGAUCUUCGGACCUUGCGCGAUUGAAUGAGCCGAUGUCGGAUUAGCUAGUUGGCGGGGUAAAGGCCCACCAAGGCGACGAUCCGUAGCUGGUCUGAGAGGAUGAUCAGCCACACUGGAACGGAGACACGGACAAGACUCCUACGGGAGGCAGCAGUGGGGAAUAUGGGACAAUGGGCGCAAGCCUGAUCCAGCCAUACCGCGUGGGUGAAGAAGGCCUUGGGGUUGUAAAGCCCUUUUGUUGGGAAAGAAAAGCAGCAGGUUAAUACCCCGCUGUUCUGACGGUACCCAAAGAAUAAGCACCGGCUAACUUCGUG
RNAcentral lists this ribosomal RNA (492 nucleotides) under uncultured bacterium. RNAcentral describes it as "partial 16S ribosomal RNA". It matches the Rfam family "Bacterial small subunit ribosomal RNA", at positions 29 to 507 of the family's 1533-position model. The record is from RNAcentral.